RNAcentral lists this ribosomal RNA (334 nucleotides) under Taruga fastigo. RNAcentral describes it as "partial 12S ribosomal RNA". It matches the Rfam family "Bacterial small subunit ribosomal RNA", at positions 898 to 1412 of the family's 1533-position model. Lineage: Eukaryota; Metazoa; Chordata; Amphibia; Anura; Rhacophoridae. The record is from RNAcentral.
AACCCAAAGGACUUGACGGUGUCUCAUCCAACUAGAGGAGCCUGUUCUAUAAUCGAUACCACACGAUAUACCCAACCAUUUUUUGCAAAUCAGUUUGUAUACCUCCGUCGUAAGCUUACCAUAUGAAUGAAGCAGAGUGGGCUAAGGACUUCACGCCAAACGUCAGGUCAGGUGCAGCUUAUAAAUGGAAGAAAUGGGCUACAUUCUAGAUUAGAACAAACGAAUUACUCAAUGAAACAGGUCAUGAAGGUGGAUUUAGUAGUAAGUAAGAAUAAUACACUUACUUAAUUUGGCCAUGAGACGUGUACAAACCGCCCGUCACCCUCUUCAACAA